UGGGGAAUUUUGGACAAUGGGCGAAAGCCUGAUCCAGCCAUGCCGCGUGAGUGAAGAAGGCCUUCGGGUUGUAAAGCUCUUUUAGUCGGAAAGAAAGAGUUGCAAUGAAUAAUUGUGAUUUAUGACGGUACCGACAGAAAAAGCUCCGGCUAACUACGUGCCAGCAGCCGCGGUAAUACGUAGGGUGUGAGCGUUAAUCGGAAUUACUGGGCGUAAAGGGUGCGCAGGCGGUCUUGCAAGUCAGAUGUGAAAGCCCCGGGCUUAACCUGGGAAUUGCGUUUGAAACUACAAGACUAGAGUGCAGCAGAGGGGAGUGGAAUUCCAUGUGUAGCAGUGAAAUGCGUAGAGAUGUGGAAGAACACCGAUGGCGAAGGCAGCUCCCUGGGUUGACACUGACGCUCAUGCACGAAAGCGUGGGGAGCAAACA
Molecule: ribosomal RNA, 427 nt
Filed under: uncultured bacterium
Lineage: Bacteria
Description: bacterial SSU rRNA
Rfam family: Bacterial small subunit ribosomal RNA
Source: RNAcentral